This 385-nucleotide ribosomal RNA is filed under the name uncultured bacterium. RNAcentral describes it as "bacterial SSU rRNA". It matches the Rfam family "Bacterial small subunit ribosomal RNA", at positions 28 to 407 of the family's 1533-position model. The record is from RNAcentral.
GACGAACGCUGGCGGCGUGCCUAACACAUGCAAGUCGAGCGAGAACCAGACCUUCGGGUCUGGGACGAGCGGCGAACGGGUGAGUAACACGUGGGUAAUCAACCCUCGAUACUGGGAUAGCCCGGGGAAACCCGGAUUAAUACCGGAUGGCCCUUUGGAUCCUCGGAUCUGAAGGAAAAGGUAGCUUCGGCCUCCGAUCGAGGACGAGCCCGCGGCGGAUUAGCUUGUUGGUGGGGUAACGGCCUACCAAGGCUCCGACCGUAGCUGGUCUGAGAGGACGAUCAGCCACACUGGGACUGAGACACGGCCCAGACUCCUACGGGAGGCAGCAGUGGGGAAUCUUGUGCAAUGCGCGAAAGCGUGACGCAGCAACGCCGCGUGGGGG